AGUGAACGCUGGCGGUAGGCCUAACACAUGCAAGUCGAACGGCAGCACAGUAAGAGCUUGCUCUUACGGGUGGCGAGUGGCGGACGGGUGAGGAAUACAUCGGAAUCUACUUUUUCGUGGGGGAUAACGUAGGGAAACUUACGCUAAUACCGCAUACGACCUACGGGUGAAAGCAGGGGAUCUUCGGACCUUGCGCGAUUGAAUGAGCCGAUGUCGGAUUAGCUAGUUGGCGGGGUAAAGGCCCGCCAAGGCGACGAUCCGUAGCUGGUCUGAGAGGAUGAUCAGCCACACUGGAACUGAGACACGGUCCAGACUCCUACGGGAGGCAGCAGUGGGGAAUAUUGGACAAUGGGCGCAAGCCUGAUCCAGCCAUACCGCGUGGGUGAAGAAGGCCUUCGGGUUGUAAAGCCCUUUUGUUGGGAAAGAAAAGCAGCAGGUUAAUACCCCGCUGUUCUGACGGGACCCAAAGAAUAAGCACCGGCUAACUUCGU
This 491-nucleotide ribosomal RNA is filed under the name uncultured bacterium. RNAcentral's name for it is "partial 16S ribosomal RNA". It matches the Rfam family "Bacterial small subunit ribosomal RNA", at positions 29 to 506 of the family's 1533-position model. The record is from RNAcentral.